This 253-nucleotide ribosomal RNA is filed under the name uncultured bacterium. RNAcentral describes it as "partial 16S ribosomal RNA". It matches the Rfam family "Bacterial small subunit ribosomal RNA", at positions 524 to 776 of the family's 1533-position model. The record is from RNAcentral.
UACGUAGGCAGCAAGCGUUGUUCGGAGUUACUGGGCGUAAAGGGUGUGUAGGCGGUUCUUUAAGUUUGGUGUGAAAUCUCCCGGCUCAACCGGGAGGGUGCGCCGAAUACUGAGGGACUAGAGUACGGGAGAGGAAAGUGGAAUUCCUGGUGUAGCGGUGAAAUGCGUAGAUAUCAGGAGGAACACCGGUGGUGUAGACGGCUUUCUGGACCGUAACUGACGCUGAAACACGAAAGCGUGGGUAGCAACCAGG